GGAGAGGUGUCCGAGCGGUUUAUGGAAAUAGUCUUGAAAACUAUCGUGGGUGUAAGCCCACCGUGAGUUCGAAUCUCACCCUCUCCG
RNAcentral lists this transfer RNA (87 nucleotides) under Candidatus Daviesbacteria bacterium RIFCSPHIGHO2_02_FULL_37_9. RNAcentral's name for it is "tRNA-Ser". It matches the Rfam family "tRNA". From Rfam's summary of the family: Transfer RNA (tRNA) molecules are approximately 80 nucleotides in length. Their secondary structure includes four short double-helical elements and three loops (D, anti-codon, and T loops). RNAcentral also lists the same sequence under 1 other name. Lineage: Bacteria; Candidatus Daviesiibacteriota. The record is from RNAcentral.